Molecule: ribosomal RNA, 422 nt
Filed under: Verrucomicrobiota bacterium
Lineage: Bacteria; Pseudomonadati; Verrucomicrobiota
Description: Verrucomicrobia bacterium partial 16S ribosomal RNA
Rfam family: Bacterial small subunit ribosomal RNA
Source: RNAcentral
UGGGGAAUUUUGCACAAUGGGCGCAAGCCUGAUGCAGCGACGCCGCGUGAGGGAUGAAGGCCUUCGGGUUGUAAACCUUUUUCGCUCAUGGUCAAGCCGCAGCUUUGGGUUGUGGUGAGGGUAGUGGGUAAAGAAGCGCCGGCUAACUACGUGCCAGCAGCCGCGGUAAUACGUAGGGCGCGAGCGUUGUCCGGAAUUAUUGGGCGUAAAGGGCUUGUAGGCGGUUGGCCGCGUCUGCCGUGAAAUCCUCUGGCUUAACUGGGGGCGUGCGGUGGGUACGGGUUGGCUUGAGUGCGGUAGGGGGGACUGGAAUUCCUGGUGUAGCGGUGGAAUGCGCAGAUAUCAGGAGGAACACCGGUGGCGAAGGCGGGUCUCUGGGCCGUUACUGACGCUGAGGAGCGAAAGCGUGGGGAGCGAACAGG